GUUCCAUCAAUAAAUUUGUAAUUGAUUAAGUUUCAAAUACAAUCCUAAACAGGUGGGAUUUUAGUUGAGUUUGCAUCCAUAAAAGGUUUACCUGUUACACUCCUACUGUGUUAUAUGGAACAAAAUACCUGUUGCUAUUAUUAUUCCCCCUCACGCUCACAGUCACACAGUU
Molecule: long non-coding RNA, 172 nt
Organism: Xiphophorus hellerii (green swordtail)
Lineage: Eukaryota; Metazoa; Chordata; Actinopteri; Cyprinodontiformes; Poeciliidae
Exons: 3
Source: RefSeq, a predicted model, not a curated record